AUAAUAAGUAACUUAGAUAUUUAUGGUCCAGUUGAUUUUAUGUCGUUUGAAUAUAUGUGGUUUUGUGAGAUUAAUAAAAUAUUUGUGGUUUUUAUGCAAAAAUUGUGAAAAUGGUUUUCUACCUUUGUGGUAGCUUGGUUUUAAAGGUAAAGGUUUUCCUGUUGGAAAUGGUUUUAAAAAGAAUUUUUCGAUUUUCAUGAUUUUUAGUAUUUCAAAAUGAGUUUCAAAGUAGGAAACGUUAUAAACGAAUAGAUGUGGUUUUAGGAUGAAAAUAUGGUGAACUUAUGAUGGAUUGAAUGUGAAAGUGGUUUAUGUGAUGUGGUGAUUGCAUUUGGAUGUGUUUACAAUAUGGUUGUAUCUUAUACUUGUGCGACGCUGUGCAAAUACAGGGGAGACUCUAUCCGUGUGAACAGUGGGUUUCCUAUAUUUGUGGCGGAUCUGACAUCCCCUGGGGUCAAGGCUUU
RNAcentral lists this long non-coding RNA (464 nucleotides) under Ananas comosus (pineapple). RNAcentral describes it as "long non-coding RNA (ACOM_LNC006986)". Lineage: Eukaryota; Viridiplantae; Streptophyta; Magnoliopsida; Poales; Bromeliaceae. The record is from RNAcentral.